UGUGGGAGCGAGCUUGCUCGCGAUGACGGUAGCCCAGUCAGCGACAGGUUGACUGACACACCGCUAUCGCGAGCAAGCUCGCUCCCACA
Molecule: unclassified non-coding RNA, 89 nt
Filed under: Pseudomonas thivervalensis
Lineage: Bacteria; Pseudomonadati; Pseudomonadota; Gammaproteobacteria; Pseudomonadales; Pseudomonadaceae
Source: RNAcentral